This 439-nucleotide ribosomal RNA is filed under the name uncultured bacterium. RNAcentral's name for it is "partial 16S ribosomal RNA". It matches the Rfam family "Bacterial small subunit ribosomal RNA", at positions 339 to 795 of the family's 1533-position model. The record is from RNAcentral.
CUACGAGUGGCUGCAGUGGGGAAUAUUGCACAAUGGAGGAAACUCUGAUGCAGCAACGCCGCGUGGAGGAUGACACUUUUCGGAGCGUAAACUCCUUUUAUAUAGGAAGAAGAUGACGGUACUAUAUGAAUAAGCGCCGGCUAACUCCGUGCCAGCAGCCGCGGUAAUACGGAGGGCGCAAGCGUUACUCGGAAUCACUGGGCGUAAAGAGCGUGUAGGCGGAUUAAAAAGUCAGAAGUGAAAUCCUAUAGCUUAACUAUAGAACUGCUUCUGAAACUCUUAAUCUAGAAUAUGGGAGAGGUAGAUGGAAUUUCUGGUGUAGGGGUAAAAUCCGUAGAGAUCAGAAGGAAUACCGAUUGCGAAGGCGAUCUACUAGAACAUUAUUGACGCUGAGACACGAAAGCGUGGGGAGCAAACAGGAUUAGAUACCCCGGUAGUC